CGCCGCAGCCGCAUGAUCGCGAGCUUCAACCGCGGCUAUAACGGGUUCCAGCAGACCUAUCGCUCCUGCACGCCGGCCGCGAAUGUCGCCAUCCGCCGCUACCUGGAAGAAGGCUCGAAAAUNNNNNNNNNNNGACCUGACGGCGCGCUACGCCAACUGAAAUUUCCGGUGGACAGCUUUCCGCGGCCCGAACGGGAAUGCUGGAAAUAAUGCGAUAACUUGAAUUCGCGCCGUUAAC
RNAcentral lists this unclassified non-coding RNA (238 nucleotides) under Hevea brasiliensis (rubber tree). Lineage: Eukaryota; Viridiplantae; Streptophyta; Magnoliopsida; Malpighiales; Euphorbiaceae. The record is from RNAcentral.